Long non-coding RNA from Astatotilapia calliptera (eastern happy), 1358 nucleotides. NCBI's taxonomy places the organism in Eukaryota, Metazoa, Chordata, Actinopteri, Cichliformes, Cichlidae. The record is from Ensembl.
CAGGUAACCAUUGUCUUGUACAGUAGAGCGGGACAUUAGAUUUACUCUCAGCGGAAUUGACCGGAGAAGGCAUCAGUUCAUGCACUGCACUGGCCUGCACCACGAUUAGUAUAAGACCAAAUCCCCUGUACACAUAUAGUGACUCAGAGGAUGAGCAGCCCACAAAAAAAAUGGUUUCCCCAGGCCCCUCGAGUGAAAAUACCAGACCUGACGAGAGCUGUUAACGAACUCCGUGAGGAGGUCAGAGCCAUCCGCAAUACCGGCUGCAAUGAAUCGGUAGAUGCUGGGGUACUGGCUCUGGAUUUGCCCUUGCACAACAUUGAGGAGCUAAACAAUGCAGAGCCAGCUCUUCAAUCACAAGAGGCAAAUAAGGCAAUGGUAAGUAUAUAAAGGUUAUGUACACUUUGUAACUAUAAAGUGUAAUAGCUGUCAGAUGUGAUUUAAAUACAUAACAACGGCCUGUUGAUUAAACACACAAGCACUUGCAUACACAUUUAAGACAUGAGACACGCUAAUUCCAUCUCUUAAAAUGUGUCUAUAGGUGAGACGCUUUGCCUUGAUUGGAGCCUGACGCAGCAGUUAGGGGCAAACUCUAUGUCCGAGUUAGUCUUUGCACAAGCAGUGCAGAAAUGGCUCCGAUACGCCCCAGAUCGUUUGGGUGGUGCAGGACGCACAUCAUGCAAAAAAUUACAAACUUCUGUGAAUCAUAUAAACGUAAAUCGGAAACUGUCUUUUAAUAAAGUAUUUAGCAAACGAAACAUGCCUAUUGACCUUUUUUUGUUUAUUUUUUUUCUCUGUUACAUCACAUGCAAUGCUUUCUUAUUUUAGGAUAUUAAUAUUGACAUGAUACAUUGUGAGACAUUUGGGUUUUUUUUUAUAAAGGGUGUCCAAUUUAAGGAAUAAGUACAAUUAUGUGUUUAGGUGGUUGAAGUAUUGAUGGAAACAUGCAGUAGUUUAGUAUUGGUUAAAAUACCUAUAAAGAAAGGUAGAUUUCCAGUCAUGAUUUAACUGUUUUAAUAAAAAGCAACUGUGCGAAAGAGGCGGAAAAUCAACACCAUAGCUCAACAGUGUUUCAAUAUCAGAAUCUGACAUUGUUUCAAUGUCAGCAGUAUUAGAAAAUAUAACGUUGAAUCAACGUCAGGUUUCAACAUUGAUUCAACAUCAAAACCUGACGUUUCAACAUUAAAAAAGGGUGCAAGAGUGACGUUAGGUCAACGUCACACUUCAACGUUGGUUCAAUGACACAGCCUGAUAUUGACUCAACAUUGUUUCAAUGUUUCCUUGCUAUCUGGGUAAAUACUUGUUUUAUCACUUAAAACAGAUAAUCAGUAUAAAAUAUUUGUGCAACAUAAUUUUUC